Molecule: non-coding RNA, 166 nt
Filed under: uncultured Porphyromonas sp.
Lineage: Bacteria; Pseudomonadati; Bacteroidota; Bacteroidia; Bacteroidales; Porphyromonadaceae
Source: RNAcentral
GGGUAAGACGAUGAAAAGGGAAUCAGGUGCAAAACCUGAGCAGACCCACUGCCGUAAGCUUCACUAUGAAGCUCCCCGCACACUCUAUUAGAUCCACUGUUGCCACUAUGGUAAUGGGAAGGAUGUGAGGGGGAGGAAGCAAGCCGGAAGACCUGCCACGAGUAUA